UACAGAGGGUGCGAGCGUUAAUCGGAAUUACUGGGCGUAAAGCGUGCGUAGGCGGUCGUGUAAGUCGGGUGUGAAAGCCCCGGGCUCAACCUGGGAAUUGCAUUCGAGACUGCACGGCUGGAGUGCGGAAGAGGGAAGCGGAAUUUCCGGUGUAGCGGUGAAAUGCGUAGAUAUCGGAAGGAACAUCAGUGGCGAAAGCGGCUUCCUGGUCCAGCUCUGACGAUCAGGCACGAAAGAGUGGGGAGCAAACAGG
RNAcentral lists this ribosomal RNA (253 nucleotides) under uncultured bacterium. Its description in RNAcentral is "partial 16S ribosomal RNA". It matches the Rfam family "Bacterial small subunit ribosomal RNA", at positions 524 to 776 of the family's 1533-position model. The record is from RNAcentral.